Molecule: ribosomal RNA, 486 nt
Filed under: uncultured Fusibacter sp.
Lineage: Bacteria; Bacillati; Bacillota; Clostridia; Eubacteriales; Fusibacteraceae
Description: bacterial SSU rRNA
Rfam family: Bacterial small subunit ribosomal RNA
Source: RNAcentral
AAACUCAAAUGAAUUGACGGGGCCCGCACAAGCGGUGGAGCAUGUGGUUUAAUUCGACGAUACGCGAAGAACCUUACCCGGGUUUGACAUUGUAUCGAAGCAUCCAGAGAUGGAUGUGUCUCUUCGGAGACGGUAUGACAGGUGCUGCAUGGCUGUCGUCAGCUCGUGCCGUGAGGUGUUGGGUUAAGUCCCGCAACGAGCGCAACCCUUGUGUUUAGUUGCAAACAGGUCAAGCUGUGCACUCUAGACAGACUGCCGUGGACAACACGGAGGAAGGUGGGGAUGACGUCAAAUCAUCAUGCCCCUUAUGAUCUGGGCUACACACGUGCUACAAUGGCCGGUACAACGGGCAGCGAAGGAGCGAUCCGGAGCGAAUCCUAAAAAGCCGGUCCCAGUUCGGAUUGCAGGCUGAAACUCGCCUACAUGAAGUUGGAGUUGCUAGUAAUCGCGAAUCAGAAUGUCGCGGUGAAUGCGUUCCCGGGUCUU